CUUGUCAUGUGAUUUGUACAACCACUAUCAAUGAGCCAGCUAUCACUUUAAAUGCUGGAUGUAAAGCAAGAUGCAACAAAUAGUUUUUCUACUUCUUGUUGAUCUGCAACUUGAGUGUCUCCCUACUCCUAUAUCUCUUUUUCCUUACAAAUAAUCUCUGCAUGCCCAAGCUUUUGACAUUUUCUGCAUUUCAUAUCUAGCU
Molecule: long non-coding RNA, 202 nt
Filed under: Carica papaya (papaya)
Lineage: Eukaryota; Viridiplantae; Streptophyta; Magnoliopsida; Brassicales; Caricaceae
Description: long non-coding RNA (CPAP_LNC007978)
Source: RNAcentral